CAGAGAGGAGCCGAGGAGAACAGCGUCGUCUGCUCUAUCGUUACGACCGAGGCUUUAUUCAUGGCUGUGACUCCAGGUUCACACUGAUCAAAGAAAAUGAGACUGUGUUUCUCCACCUGCUCAACUUAACAUCUGAAGACAGUGGGAACUACACCUGUGAGUGUGGAUUUCGUGGUGGAUUGUAUGUUCUCCAUCUCAGUGUGACUGUGAGAGACGAUGGAGAUUCUUCUGGCAUGAAGUUCAUGGCUACAGUUCCCAUCAUUUCUGCUGCUGCUUCACUCAUCAGUGUGGCUGUGAUAACCUGUGGUUACAGCCUGAGGAGAAAUCCUCGCAGAGAAAACAGAUCAGGUCUAACUAACUUAACAGGAUCUGAAACUCGCCAGAUGUUUGACAAAGAGGACCGCUACAUGAGCCUUCAUCGGCAAAACAUCGAUGUCUACCAAACUAUCUCCUCCGGUCGCCUUCAUCAUGAUGCUGAGGCCACUGCAUGUCACAGUCAUGUACAAUAAUAAUCAGAGAUGGAGUUUUUAUCCUGACUACGUGAUCUAUAAAACUAUGAUGCUAGACAUGCUAUCUAUAAAAGACACUGACAUUUUAACUUGCCAGCAUCAUGUGUACUGUUAGUUUGUUUUGCACUGAAAAAAGAGAAAAAUAUUAACGUCCAGUAAAACUUGUAAUUAUGUUGUGAAUGAAUUGCCUGAAUUCAUGGCUUUUAACACCAUUUAAUUUCUGUUUUUUAUCUGGUUUGAACGUUGAAAAUCCUGCCACUUGGCUCUGUGGCCUCUGCCACCAUUAUGGUUUUUGCUAUACUGGUCCACUUGAUAGUCAUAUUUGAUGAUGAUUUUACUUUAUUUUGAGUCAUUAGAAUCAGAACGGGGGUCAGGAAAGAAGAAAAAAGAUAAGCUGGGGAGAAAGUUAACAGAAGAAGAGGGAAAAAUAGAGAAGAAGAGAAAUAGAUGGAGAGGAAGAGAGAAAAAAUACUGAAAAUCUAUUUCAUCAUCUGCUGAAAAACACAAGGAAAAACCAACACAGUGGGGAACCCACAGCAACAACCAAUAAUAUGCAGUAAGUAGGCUAGUAAGUAGUAGUAAAUAAUAGAUAUUAAAUGUUACUGAGCAGUAAAUGGGCCCAGAGGGCCGAGACCUGAGGGCACCCCACCCGCAGCACAGGCCCAACAGAGCCAGGGGGCCGGGCCCCACCGAGCAGCCGCCCAGAGUGAGCCACUAAACACAGAGAACCACUAAUGCACUGUGGGUGGGGGCACCAGCUACUGGCAGGAAGUGUGGUGGGGGGAAAUAAUACGUGACUAUUUUUAUGUGGAGUGGAAUUAAACUGCCAUAGAAUAUGCUUGUGGUGGAUUUGACUCAACACAAGCGUAUUGUCAAAGUGUUCUUUGGCAUGCAUCGAGACAGUUUCUCAGAUACUGAAGUGACUUGAGCAGAGCCAGUUAAAGCCUACUGUGCUUGAGUGGGCAGCUCAAGUUUCCACGUGGAAGGUUUAGUGAGACAAAGACAGGAAGUUAAAGCUGCUGACUAAUAAUCUGCAGGUUCCUGAUUUGAGUCUCUGUUAAGAGGAUGGUGUCUCUGAGAUAAUUGCUUUUGUGCAUCGAUAAAUAAACAGGGAAAUAAAUGAAUAGAAAAAAGCAUCCGAGCGGAUGUGCACCGACGGUGUGCCCACUGGUCUUAAAGUGCCUUUGCGCCCCUUACCAUUUAUGGAGGUCCCAUUUGGGCACAUUGGCAUGGACCUAUAGUGUACAUGGAUAUUGCUUUGUAUUAGUUCUGGUAUAUUAUACAACACAAUAACAUGAUGCAGUGCUGCUGUGCACCAUUUCUGCAAAGAGUGUGGUGCAAGCAAGGAAGAUAAGAUAACUCUUGCACAGUCAUACCUAGUACAAUAAUACAACAAAAUUGGAAACUGUCCCACCAUAACACAAUCAUUUAGAUACAAUAUUGGACUUUGUUUACAUGUAACUGCACAAAUAGAAUUUAGAAAUGUAAUUAUUGACAAGAG
Molecule: non-coding RNA, 2010 nt
Organism: Maylandia zebra (zebra mbuna)
Lineage: Eukaryota; Metazoa; Chordata; Actinopteri; Cichliformes; Cichlidae
Source: RefSeq, a predicted model, not a curated record